AUGAACGCUGGCGGCGUGCCUAAUACAUGCAAGUCGAGCGAACAGAUAAGGAGCUUGCUCCUUUGACGUUAGCGGCGGACGGGUGAGUAACACGUGGGUAACCUACCUAUAAGACUGGGAUAACUUCGGGAAACCGGAGCUAAUACCGGAUAACAUUUGGAACCGCAUGGUUCUAAAGUGAAAGAUGGUUUUGCUAUCACUUAUAGAUGGACCCGCGCCGUAUUAGCUAGUUGGUAAGGUAACGGCUUACCAAGGCGACGAUACGUAGCCGACCUGAGAGGUGGACCGACCCCACGGGAAUGGAGCACGGGACCGCCUCCCGCGGGGGGGAAGCAGGGGGAAAUCGUCAGAAGGGGGCGAAGCCCUGACGGGUCAACGCGGCGGGAGGAAUGAGGGGUUCGGGCUCUAAAAACUGUUUUAUAGGGAAAAAAAAAAUGUAAAAGUAAUGGUCCACGUCUGGGGGGGCCUAAAGGAAAAAGCCGCGGCUAACUGCGU
RNAcentral lists this ribosomal RNA (495 nucleotides) under uncultured bacterium. RNAcentral's name for it is "partial 16S ribosomal RNA". It matches the Rfam family "Bacterial small subunit ribosomal RNA", at positions 29 to 506 of the family's 1533-position model. The record is from RNAcentral.